UUAGAAUUAACACACAAAGUCACAAUGAAAUCAGAGAAUGAAACAAGAAAUAAAAGGAUCAAAUGAGCAUUAUGAAUUAACUACAUGGGUUUCUUGCUAGGCUACAUCGAAUCCCUAAGAAGAGAUUAGUUACAUUUCAUGUUUACAAACGUUUUAACAUAGAAAUACAUAACAUGAAUGAACAUAGAAUUGAGAAGAAGAAACCCUUGAAGCAAAACUGAUGUUGAAAUCCUUCAAGAAUGGCCUUCGGUCUUGGUUCUCCAGAUGUGUUGUAACAUGAAGGAUGAGCUGCUGUGGAUGAAUGGUUGUUGCGGAUGGGAGAGAGAAUGGACAGAAAAAUGGAGUUGCUAGGUGUGUGAAUGGUGGUAUGGUCGAGAGUUUUUUUAGAAGUGAGAUUGCAUGGACUUUAAAUUGAAGUCUCUUGGGAGAACAUGCGGCUGUCUAGCCAAAGAAUGAAGCUGCCAAUCUGAAUGAUGAUGGAAUGAAGUGAUUUCUGAGGUGGUGGAUGCACGGCACAAGGUGUAGAUGCAUACAUAUAGCUAUUUUAAUUGAACAUGCAUGUGUGUUUGCUGCAAAGCUGAAAUGGACAACCUGGAAUUGGUUGAACAAAUCUGGAAAAGGGAAUGAAUGUGCACGGCAUGGCUUUGCUUUGAGGUGUACAAGUGGCUGAAUGGAUUAGUUUAAUAGAAGCACAUGUGUUGCUGCAAAAGAGGGCUGGAAAUGUAAGGAGAUGCACGGCAAGAUUGUGAACCUGCAUGUGGCUGCAUGUUUUGGAGGUGUGGAUGUGGCAUUAAGUAAUGGAAGUGCAUGUUCUUGGUGCAAAAAGGGAAUGGAAUGCACGGCAAGAUUGAAAACAUGCAUGUGAUUGCAUGUUUUGGUAUUUAAAACCACAUAAUCUGAAUUCAAUGUUUUUGUCUUGCCUAGAAUCACCCAUUAUGGCCGAAUGCUCCACCUUACACUUCCACAUGUGUUCCUGAAAUUCCAGCAGCCAAAGUAGUUCUAUAUUCCUCAUUUGGGAUUUCAAAUUACUCCUCAAAAACCUUAUUCACGCUAGGGAUGAUGAUCAGCUACCAAAAGGGUUGAUUUUACUUCACUUGCAAUCCAAUUGAUCCUAAAACACACUUGGCUGCACACUAACACCAAAUAAUGUAAAAAACACAACUAGCUUGAUCCAAAAACAUCACAAAACAUGUUGAGUAUAAUAGCAUAAGUAAGGGUGUCGAAUCCACAGGGACUAAUUAGACCUAUAUAACCACUUGUUUUGCAAGAUUAGAAAAUAAAACUAAUCACUUUAGAUAGAUUUGAUGUUGUAACUUGAAACACACGGAAAUGAAAUGAACACAAGUAAAUGAAUCUACAAAUAAUGAAAUGAGAUAGUAUCAAUGGAGAUGAGGCUAGGGAUUCGGUUUCACCAUUGCUAAAUUGAUUCCAUGUUUGUUAAGUCAGUUUAUGCUCAGUCAUCUAUCUAUUUCUUGAGUUUGUUUCACUUAGAUAUGAUCAACCAUAUGAUAUGUGGAUUUGAUCAAAUAUUCCUAGUCAUGAACCUAAUUGUGAUGUUCAACUUCGGCUCCUAAUCAAGAAUGUGUUAUGCAUAAGAAACUUUCAUAAAACCAAAGAAACACUUGGCAGGAUGUUUGCAAAACGUUUCCUUCAAUCAUUCCCAUAUCUGCCAAAGUUAUGCAUGAUGUGUGCUUUAAGAUUGGCUAGACAACUUAUGGUUAAUUCAAAUGGUGAUCAAGCAUUAAAACCAACACACAAAGUCACAAUUAAAUCAGAAAAUGAAACAAGAAAUAGAAGGAUAAACUGAGCAUUCCGAAUUAACUACAUGGCAAUCUUGCUAGGCUACAUCGAAUCCCUAGAAUGAGAUUAGUUACACUUCAUGUUUACAAAUGAUUUAACAUAAAAAUAUAUAACAUGAGUGAACAUAGAAUUGAGAAGAAGAAACCCUUGAAGCAAAACUGAUGUUGAAAUCCUUCAAGAAUGGCCUUCGGUCUUGGUUCUCCAGAUGUGUUGUAACAUGAAGGAUGAGCUGCUGUGGAUGAAUGGUUGUUGCGGAUGGGAGAGAGAAUGGACAGAAAAAUGGAGUUGCUAGGUGUGUGAAUGGUGGUAUGGUCGAGAGUUUUUUUAGAAGUGAGAUUGCAUGGACUUUAAAUUGAAGUCUCUUGGGAGAACAUGCGGCUGUCUAGCCAAAGAAUGAAGCUGCCAAUCUGAAUGAUGAUGGAAUGAAGUGAUUUCUGAGGUGGUGGAUGCACGGCACACAAGGUGUAGAUGCAUACAUAUAGCUAUUUUAAUUGAACAUGCAUGUGUGUUUGCUGCAAAGCUGAAAUGGACAACCUGGAAUUGGUUGAACA
RNAcentral lists this long non-coding RNA (2351 nucleotides) under Malus domestica (apple). RNAcentral's name for it is "long non-coding RNA (MDOM_LNC014549)". Lineage: Eukaryota; Viridiplantae; Streptophyta; Magnoliopsida; Rosales; Rosaceae. The record is from RNAcentral.